RNAcentral lists this ribosomal RNA (300 nucleotides) under Hoplosternum magdalenae. Its description in RNAcentral is "partial small subunit ribosomal RNA". Lineage: Eukaryota; Metazoa; Chordata; Actinopteri; Siluriformes; Callichthyidae. The record is from RNAcentral.
CGUCGUCAGCUUACCCUGUGAAGGAACAACAGUAAACAAAAUGGGCACACCCCAAAACGUCAGGUCGAGGUGUAGCGCACGAAGUGGGAAGAAAUGGGCUACAUUUUCUAAAUAUAGAAUAUCACGAACGGCACCAUGAAAAAGGCGCCCGAAGGAGGAUUUAGCAGUAAAAAGAAAACAGAGAGUUCUUUUGAAUUAGGCUCUGAAGCACGCACACACCGCCCGUCACUCUCUCCUACAGUACUUAAAUACGUAACUAACAAACUAAUAACGCACACGGGGAGGCAAGUCGUAACAUGG